UUGCGGUUAAAAAGCUCGUAGUUGGAUUUCUGUUGAGGGCAAUCGGUCCGGACUUUGGUCUGUGCAUCUGAUUUGACCUCGGCAUCCUCUCAAAGCCGUAUUGCGCUUCGUUGUCGUGAUGCGAACUUUGGGACUUUUACUUUGAGGAAAUUAGAGUGUUCACGGCAGGCAUGCGCCUUGAAUAUAUUAGCAUGGAAUAAUAAUAUAGGAUCUUGGUUCUAUUUUGUUGGUUUCUAGAGCUAGGAUAAUGAUUAAUAGGGACAAUUGGGGGCAUUCGUAU
This 280-nucleotide ribosomal RNA is filed under the name uncultured marine eukaryote. Its description in RNAcentral is "partial 18S ribosomal RNA". It matches the Rfam family "Eukaryotic small subunit ribosomal RNA", at positions 613 to 897 of the family's 1831-position model. The record is from RNAcentral.